AUCAACAAAUAUCAAUUACUACCAGUUCUCAAGGGUAUUUUCUCCCAAGUCACUAGUGCGAAAACCUUUAAUCAUUCUACCCUAAUUUCUAUGUCCAUAGGCAAUUAGGGUGAAGUUAAGAUUUAUUAUAUCAAGAAUGCUCUAAUUCACAUAGGGUAUCCCUAGUCUUAGGUGAUAUCUACUGCAGAGUAAUCUUAUGAAAACCUUAUAAAUGGCGGUCCAAC
Molecule: long non-coding RNA, 224 nt
Filed under: Lathyrus oleraceus (garden pea)
Lineage: Eukaryota; Viridiplantae; Streptophyta; Magnoliopsida; Fabales; Fabaceae
Description: Pisum sativum (pea) long non-coding RNA (PSAT_LNC006324)
Source: RNAcentral